This 140-nucleotide microRNA precursor is filed under the name Corchorus olitorius. Its description in RNAcentral is "mir-166 microRNA precursor family". It matches the Rfam family "mir-166 microRNA precursor family". Rfam says of the family: This family represents the plant microRNA (miRNA) precursor mir-166. Animal miRNAs are transcribed as ~70nt precursors and subsequently processed by the Dicer enzyme to give a ~22nt product. In plants the precursor sequences may be longer, and the carpel factory (caf) enzyme appears to be involved in processing. Lineage: Eukaryota; Viridiplantae; Streptophyta; Magnoliopsida; Malvales; Malvaceae. The record is from Rfam by way of RNAcentral.
GUUGAGGGGAAUGUUGGCUGGCUCGAAGCUUUUCAAAUUGAGAGAGAUAUUAUAAGGCUUUUAGUUUUGGGUUAAAUUACAAAACUUUUGAAAAGCUUCGUCUCUCUCAAGGUUUCGGACCAGGCUUCAUUCCCUUCAAA